Anolis carolinensis (green anole) is the source of this 1443-nucleotide long non-coding RNA. RefSeq lists it as uncharacterized. The record is from RefSeq and is a predicted model, not a curated record. Lineage: Eukaryota; Metazoa; Chordata; Lepidosauria; Squamata; Anolidae. The transcript is spliced from 2 exons.
CACCAGAUAGGGCGUCUGCUCACCAUCCCAAGACUACCAGCCAGGGCCCCUCUGGUGCUGAUCUGCUGUGGCCAAUGGUGCAGGUUCUGGUGCUCUCUGAAAACUCCUGGGUCUGAAAAGGUUGUUGUUCAGCCCAGGACGGAGCCCUGCGGCACUCCACUUGUCACUUCUUUCCAUGAUGAAGACAACGCAUUGGUGGUGGUUGCCCUUGGAAACCCCUGUCUCUCCGGACACGUCUCGUCUUGCAUUCUGUCACCGCAUUUCCCUGUUGAAGACAAAACAAGAACAUACAGAUAAAAAGAAACACUCCUAAGGACCCUGGGCGUUUUUCUGUCUGGGAAACUUUCUGCUUCUUGAAUGCAACACGCGUUUUACCCACAUCAGGAGAGAAUGCUUCUGGAACAUGGCCAUACAGCCCGGAAAAUGCACAACAACCCAGUGAUUCUGGCCAUGAAAGCCUUUGACAACACAAACAACAACAUGGAUUGCUGCGAGAUUUCCGGGCUAUAUGGCCAUAUUCCAGAAGCAUUUUCUCUUGACAUUUCACCCAAAACUGUGACAAGCACCCUCAGAGAUUGUGGGGUCUGUUGGAAACUAGGCAAGUGGGGUUUAUAUAUCUGUGGAAUGUCCAGGAUGGGAGAAAGAACUCUUGUCUGUUUAAGGCAAGUGUGAAUGUUGCAAUUGGGCACCAUGAUUAGCACUGAAUGGCCUUUCAGCUUCAAAGCCUGGCUGCUUCCUGCCUAGGGGAAUCCUUUGUUGGGGUUGUUAGCUGGCCCUGAUUGCUUCAUGCCUGAAAUUCCCUGUAUUCUGAGUGUUGUUCUUUAUUUCCUGAUUUUAGAGUUUUUUUUAAAAAAUACUGUUAGCCAGAUUUUGUUCAUUUUCAUGGUUUCCUCCUUUCUGUUGAAAUUGUCCACAUGCUUAAAUAAAUUGUCAACAACAACAUGCUGUGUAUACAGUGGACACAUUGAAGGAUUGAAGGGAAGAAAAUGCUUCACCUGCACUCCACAAAAAGGAAAAUCGGCCUGUUUAGCAAGUCUUGCAAACACUGAUUUGUUAUCAGCAGAUGUUAGAUUUUUAUAAAUAUUUCAUAUAUCCAUAUACCUGGGGUGAUGUAAAAAUUUCUCAGGCAAAAAGAGGUUGCAAAUGGGAAAAGUUGAAGAAGGCCUGCUCUAUUUCGCCAUGAACUGUAUCUCAUUCAACCUCUAUAGGUGGAUGCUGGAGAGUGCAUUUGCAAUUUGAACAUGAAAAACUCUGAGUUUGGAUCUAGCCAGGCAAAAUUCUUGAUACAAUUCAGAACUAACAAAAGCAACUUGUGCCAUCCAGACGUGUUGAACUAUUGCUAGUUGGGGAGAACAUGAACAUGAACAUGUGGUUUUUCUAAGAUAUUGCGAUUUGUAUCUGUUUGUGUACCCUUUGAUGAACCUAUACAUAUAUAUUCCUUCC